AGUGAACGCUGGCGGUAGGCCUAACACAUGCAAGUCGAACGGCAGCACAGUAAGAGCUUGCUCUUACGGGUGGCGAGUGGCGGACGGGUGAGGAAUACAUCGGAAUCUACUUUUUCGUGGGGGAUAACGUAGGGAAACUUACGCUAAUACCUCAUACGACCUACGGGUGAAAGCAGGGGAUCUUCGGACCUUGCGCGAUUGAAUGAGCCGAUGUCGGAUUAGCUAGUUGGCGGGGUAAAGGCCCACCAAGGCGACGAUCCGUAGCUGGUCUGAGAGGAUGAUCAGCCACACUGGAACUGAGAAACGGUCCAGACUCCUACGGGAGGCAGCAGUGGGGAAUAUUGGACAAUGGGCGCAAGCCUGAUCAAGCCAUACCGCGUGGGUGAAGAAGGCCUUCGGGUUGUAAAGCCCUUUUGUUGGGAAAGAAAAGCAGCAGGUUAAUACCCCGCUGUUCUGACGGUACCCAAAGAAUAAGCACCGGCUAACUUCGUG
RNAcentral lists this ribosomal RNA (492 nucleotides) under uncultured bacterium. RNAcentral's name for it is "partial 16S ribosomal RNA". It matches the Rfam family "Bacterial small subunit ribosomal RNA", at positions 29 to 507 of the family's 1533-position model. The record is from RNAcentral.